Molecule: long non-coding RNA, 449 nt
Organism: Leucoraja erinaceus (little skate)
Lineage: Eukaryota; Metazoa; Chordata; Chondrichthyes; Rajiformes; Rajidae
Exons: 3
Source: RefSeq, a predicted model, not a curated record
GACAAUAACGGUCGAGCACCGAGUCCGAACAGGAGGACGAGUCGGAGGAGAGUGAGACGGACGAGGAAGAGGCAUCGCGUUCCAGCGCCGACAAACCCGGUGACCAGGUCCACAGUGUGGAGCAGGUGCUGUGCUGCCCCCCGCCGGCCCCCCACAUGCCCAUGUACACGCCGCUGACCAGCGCCUUCCCCCUGCCCAGCCCCCCGCUGGGUACCAGCUACCACGACGGCGACCAGGACCUGGACGAUGACUACGAUUCCUAGCUCCCACCGCCAGCGGCCACUGGCCGGCAACGCCAGCGUUUUACUCCCCGCGCCAGAGAGAGCGCGUGCGUGCGCGUGUGUGUGUGGCUGCGUGUGUGUGUGUGAGCUUGUGUGUACAUCUGUGCGUGUGUGUGUGUGUGUGCAUAUGUGUACGUAUAUCCUGUCUCCGCUUCCUCCCUCCCUCCC